RNAcentral lists this non-coding RNA (190 nucleotides) under Oscillospiraceae bacterium. RNAcentral's name for it is "6S RNA". It matches the Rfam family "6S / SsrS RNA". Rfam says of the family: E. coli 6S RNA was the first non coding RNA to be sequenced, but its function was unknown until recently. It consists of 184 nucleotides that fold into an extended hairpin structure with a large single-stranded internal bulge. The 6S RNA specifically associates with RNA polymerase holoenzyme containing the sigma70 specificity factor. The record is from RNAcentral. Lineage: Bacteria; Bacillati; Bacillota; Clostridia; Eubacteriales; Oscillospiraceae.
UCCGUCCUGCUCUGUUCGCGGACCGUGGCUAUUAUAACCCUACAACCUUAUUAAUAGGGGCCGUUGCUCGGGCGGCGGGUAUGCAGGCCUCCCGCUUUUCGCGGACGUUGGAAGCACAAAACCGUUCGGCUGGCACCCACCUGCUUAGUCGCAGGUUAUCAAUCGCCCAUUACGGCAGAGUGGGACUGCA